Molecule: ribosomal RNA, 253 nt
Filed under: uncultured bacterium
Lineage: Bacteria
Description: partial 16S ribosomal RNA
Rfam family: Bacterial small subunit ribosomal RNA
Source: RNAcentral
UACGUAGGGGGCAAGCGUUGUCCGGAUUUAUUGGGCGUAAAGCGCGUGUAGGCGGCCCUGCAAGUCGGGUGUGAAAUCCCACGGCUCAACCGUGGAAGUGCAUUCGAAACUGCAGGGCUAGAGUCCUGGAGAGGAAGGUGGAAUGCUUGGUGUAGAGGUGAAAUUCGUAGAUAUCAAGCGGAACACCGGUGGCGAAGGCGGCCUUCUGGACAGUGACUGACGCUGAGACGCGAAAGCGUGGGGAGCAAACAGG